This 468-nucleotide ribosomal RNA is filed under the name uncultured bacterium. RNAcentral describes it as "partial 16S ribosomal RNA". It matches the Rfam family "Bacterial small subunit ribosomal RNA", at positions 28 to 507 of the family's 1533-position model. The record is from RNAcentral.
GACGAACGCUGGCGGCGUGCUUAACACAUGCAAGUCGAACGGAAAGGCCCUGCUUUUGUGGGGUGCUCGAGUGGCGAAAGGGUGAGUAACACGUGAGUAACCUGCCCUUGACUUUGGGAUAACUUCAGGAAACUGGGGCUAAUACCGGAUAGGAGCUCCUGCUGCAUGGUGGGGGUUGGAAAGUUUCGGCGGUUGGGGAUGGACUCGCGGCUUAUCAGCUUGUUGGUGGGGUAGUGGCUUACCAAGGCUUUGACGGGUAGCCGGCCUGCGAGGGUGACCGGCCACAUUGGGACUGAGAUACGGCCCAGACUCCUACGGGAGGCAGCAGUGGGGAAUAUUGCACAAUGGGCGGAAGCCUGAUGCAGCAACGCCGCGUGGGGGAUGACGGCCUUCGGGUUGUAAACCGCUUUCGCCUGUGACGAAGCGUGAGUGACGGUAAUGGGUAAAGAAGCACCGGCUAACUACGUG